RNAcentral lists this ribosomal RNA (1337 nucleotides) under Acinetobacter baumannii. Its description in RNAcentral is "partial 23S ribosomal RNA". It matches the Rfam family "Bacterial large subunit ribosomal RNA", at positions 503 to 1855 of the family's 2925-position model. Lineage: Bacteria; Pseudomonadati; Pseudomonadota; Gammaproteobacteria; Moraxellales; Moraxellaceae. The record is from RNAcentral.
GUGAGGGAAAGGUGAAAAGCACCCCGGGAGGGGAGUGAAAUAGAACCUGAAACCGUGUGCCUACAACAAGUUCGAGCCCGUUAAUGGGUGAGAGCGUGCCUUUUGUAGAAUGAACCGGCGAGUUACGAUAUGAUGCGAGGUUAAGUUGAAGAGACGGAGCCGUAGGGAAACCGAGUCUUAAUAGGGCGAUUUAGUAUCAUGUUGUAGACCCGAAACCAUGUGACCUACCCAUGAGCAGGUUGAAGGUGAGGUAAAACUCACUGGAGGACCGAACCAGGGCACGUUGAAAAGUGCUUGGAUGACUUGUGGGUAGCGGAGAAAUUCCAAACGAACUUGGAGAUAGCUGGUUCUCUCCGAAAUAGCUUUAGGGCUAGCGUCGAUGUUAAGUCUCUUGGAGGUAGAGCACUGUUUGGGUGAGGGGUCCAUCUCGGAUUACCAAUCUCAGAUAAACUCCGAAUGCCAACGAGAUAUCAUCGGCAGUCAGACUGCGAGUGCUAAGAUCCGUAGUCGAAAGGGAAACAGCCCAGACCACCAGCUAAGGUCCCAAAAUAACUGUUAAGUGGAAAAGGAUGUGGGGUUGCACAGACAACUAGGAUGUUAGCUUAGAAGCAGCUAUUCAUUCAAAGAGUGCGUAAUAGCUCACUAGUCGAGUGACCCUGCGCCGAAAAUGUACCGGGGCUAAAACAGUUUACCGAAGCUGUGGAUGACACAAAAGUGUCAUGGUAGGAGAGCGUUCUAUGUGUGAAGAAGGUGUACCGUGAGGAGCGCUGGAACGCAUAGAAGUGAGAAUGCCGGUAUGAGUAGCGAAAGACAGGUGAGAAUCCUGUCCACCGUAAGACUAAGGUUUCCAGGGGAAGGCUCGUCCGCCCUGGGUUAGUCGGGACCUAAGGAGAGACCGAAAGGUGUAUCCGAUGGCCAACAGGUUGAUAUUCCUGUACUAGAGUAUAUAGUGAUGGAGGGACGCAGUAGGCUAACUAAACCGGACGAUUGGAAGAGUCCGGCUAAGCAGUGAGGUGUAAGAUGAGUCAAAUGCUUAUCUUUAUAACAUUGAGCUGUGAUGGGGAGCGAAUUUUAGUAGCGAAGUUAGUGAUGUCACACUGCCAAGAAAAGCUUCUAGCGUUUAAUGAUACUCUACCCGUACCGCAAACCGACACAGGUAGUCGAGGCGAGUAGCCUCAGGUGAUCGAGAGAACUCUCGUUAAGGAACUCGGCAAAAUGACCCCGUAACUUCGGGAGAAGGGGUGCUGACUUAGGUCAGCCGCAGUGAAUAGGCCCAAGCAACUGUUUAUCAAAAACACAGCUCUCUGCUAAAUCGUAAGAUGAUGUAUAGGGGGUGA